This 254-nucleotide ribosomal RNA is filed under the name uncultured bacterium. RNAcentral's name for it is "partial 16S ribosomal RNA". It matches the Rfam family "Bacterial small subunit ribosomal RNA", at positions 524 to 776 of the family's 1533-position model. The record is from RNAcentral.
UACGUAGGGCGCAAGCGUUGUCCGGAAUUAUUGGGCGUAAAGAGCUCGUAGGCGGUUUGUCGCGUCUGCUGUGAAAACCUAAGGCUCAACCUUGGGCUUGCAGUGGGUACGGGCAGACUAGAGUGCGGUAGGGGUGACUGGAAUUCCUGGUGUAGCGGUGGAAUGCGCAGAUAUCAGGAGGAACACCGAUGGCGAAGGCAGGUCACUGGGCCGCAACUGACGCUGAGAACGCGAAAGCCAGGGGAGCGAACGGG